This 754-nucleotide ribosomal RNA is filed under the name uncultured archaeon. Its description in RNAcentral is "bacterial SSU rRNA". It matches the Rfam family "Archaeal small subunit ribosomal RNA", at positions 102 to 859 of the family's 1478-position model. The record is from RNAcentral.
AGUCAACAUGCCCAAAGGACGUGGAUAACCUCGGGAAACUGAGGAUAAACCGCGAUAGGCCAAGGUUUCUGGAAUGAGCCAUGGCCGAAAUCUACAUGGCCUUUGGAUUGGACUGCGGCCGAUCAGGCUGUUGGUGAGGUAAUGGCCCACCAAACCUGUUACCGGUACGGGCUUUGAGAGAAGUAGCCCGGAGAUGGGCACUGAGACAAGGGCCCAGGCCCUAUGGGGCGCAGCAGGCGCGAAACCUCUGCAAUAGGCGAAAGCCUGACAGGGUUACUCUGAGUGAUGCCCGCUAAGGGUAUCUUUUGGCACCUCUAAAAAUGGUGCAGAAUAAGGGGUGGGCAAGUCUGGUGUCAGCCGCCGCGGUAAUACCAGCACCCCGAGUUGUCGGGACGAUUAUUGGGCCUAAAGCAUCCGUAGUCUGUUCUACAAGUCCUCCGUUAAAUCCACCUGCUCAACAGAUGGGCUGCGGGGGAUACUAUAGGGCUAGGAGGCGGGAGAGGCAAACGGUACUCAGUGGGUAGGGGUAAAAUCCAUUGAUCUACUGAAGACCACCAGUGGCGAAGGCGGUUUGCCAGAACGCGCUCGACGGUGAGGGAUGAAAGCUGGGGGAGCAAACCGGAUUAGAUACCCGGGUAGUCCCAGCUGUAAACGAUGCAGACUCGGUGAUGGGUUGGCUUCGCGCCAACCCAGUGCCGCAGGGAAGCCGUUAAGUCUGCCGCCUGGGGAGUACGGUCGCAAGACUGAAACUUUA